UAGGAGCUAUCACGAUCAUGGUUAGAUUUUGGGUCGUGACAUUAUGUGUAGGAGCAAGUUGGACGAAAGGUGAGCAAAAGAAGCUGAUUCGGGACUAAGAGACAAAAGAAGAACUUUGCUCGUUCACUCUUGCGUUUAUAUAAGAGAAUGAACAAGCUAGCUGAGGGCAGCUUGAACGAAAUAAUGGAUUAAGGCAAAAAGUCAUGGAAGUGCAUGAGAGACCUGGAAGAAAAAGAAAAAGAGAAGAACUUCACUCGUUCACUUUCGCUUGCGUACG
Molecule: long non-coding RNA, 277 nt
Filed under: Nicotiana benthamiana
Lineage: Eukaryota; Viridiplantae; Streptophyta; Magnoliopsida; Solanales; Solanaceae
Description: long non-coding RNA (NBEN_LNC041222)
Source: RNAcentral